Molecule: ribosomal RNA, 482 nt
Filed under: uncultured bacterium
Lineage: Bacteria
Description: partial 16S ribosomal RNA
Rfam family: Bacterial small subunit ribosomal RNA
Source: RNAcentral
GACGAACGCUGGCGGCGUGCUUAACACAUGCAAGUCGAACGCUGAAGCUCAGCUUGCUGGGUGGAUGAGUGGCGAACGGGUGAAUAACACGUGAGUAACCUGCCCUCUUCUUUGGGAUAACGCCCGGAAACGGGUGCUAAUACUGGAUAUUCACUGAUUCUCGCAUGGGGGUUGGUGGAAAGGUUUUUUCUGGUGGGGGAUGGGCUCGCGGCCUAUCAGCUUGUUGGUGGGGUGAUGGCCUACCAAGGCUUUGACGGGUAGCCGGCCUGAGAGGGUGACCGGUCACAUUGGGACUGAGAUACGGCCCAGACUCCUACGGGAGGCAGCAGUGGGGAAUAUUGCACAAUGGGCGAAAGCCUGAUGCAGCGACGCCGCGUGAGGGAUGGAGGCCUUCGGGUUGUAAACCUCUUUCGCUCAUGGUCAAGCCGCAGCUUUGGGUUGUGGUGAGGGUAGUGGGUAAAGAAGCGCCGGCUAACUACGUG